UAAUACNUAGGUAACCUACCCUUAAGACGAGGAUAGCCAUUGGAAACGAUGGAUAAAACUGGAUAGGAUAUAGAGGAAGAAUCUUUUAUAUUUAAAAGAGAGAUCUGCUUAAGGAGGGGCCUGUGGCGCAUUAGCUAGUUGGUGGGGUNAGGGCCUACCAAGGCGAUGAUGCGUAGCCGGACUGAGAGGUUGAACGGNCACANUGGAACUGAGAACGGNCCNUACUCCUACGGGAGGCNGCAGUAGGGAAUUUUCGGCAAUGGGGGGAACCCUGACCGAGCAACGCCGCGUGAACGAAGAAGUUAUUCGUAAUGUAAAGUUCUUUUAUCAGGGAAGAAAGAGGAAUUUGACGGUACCUGAGGAAUAAGCUCCGGCUAACUACGUGCCAGCAGCCGCGGUAAUACGUAGGGAGCGAGCGUUAUCCGGAAUUAUUGGGCGUAAAGGGUGCGUAGAUGGCAUAGUAAGUCUUUUGUAAAAAUGCUGGGCUCAACCCAGUAGGGCAAAAGAUACUGCNAAGCUAGAGUAUGACAGAGGCAAGUGGAACUACAUGUGUAGCGGUAAAAUGCGUAAAUAUAUGUAAGAACACCAGUGGCGAAGGCGGCCUGCUGGGCUUUAACUGACGCUGAAGCACGAAAGCGUGGGUAGCAAACAGGAUUAGAUACCCUGGUAGU
This 671-nucleotide ribosomal RNA is filed under the name uncultured bacterium. RNAcentral's name for it is "bacterial SSU rRNA". It matches the Rfam family "Bacterial small subunit ribosomal RNA", at positions 111 to 794 of the family's 1533-position model. The record is from RNAcentral.